GGGAUUAAGGUUAAAUAGGGAGGGCCGAACAAACUGCAAGUCGUACGCUUCUUUUUCCACCGGAGCUUGCUCCACCGGAAAAAGAAGAGUGGCGAACGGGUGAGUAACACGUGGGUAACCUGCCCAUCAGAAGGGGAUAACACUUGGAAACAGGUGCUAAUACCGUAUAACAAUCGAAACCGCAUGGUUUUGAUUUGAAAGGCGCUUUCGGGUGUCGCUGAUGGAUGGACCCGCGGUGCAUUAGCUAGUUGGUGAGGUAACGGCUCACCAAGGCCACGAUGCAUAGCCGACCUGAGAGGGUGAUCGGCCACAUUGGGACUGAGACACGGCCCAAACUCCUACGGGAGGCAGCAGUAGGGAAUCUUCGGCAAUGGACGAAAGUCUGACCGAGCAACGCCGCGUGAGUGAAGAAGGUUUUCGGAUCGUAAAACUCUGUUGUUAGAGAAGAACAAGGAUGAGAGUAACUGUUCAUCCCUUGACGGUAUCUAACCAGAAAGCCACGGCUAACUACGUGCCAGCAGCCGCGGUAAUACGUAGGUGGCAAGCGUUGUCCGGAUUUAUUGGGCGUAAAGCGAGCGCAGGCGGUUUCUUAAGUCUGAUGUGAAAGCCCCCGGCUCAACCGGGGAGGGUCAUUGGAAACUGGGAGACUUGAGUGCAGAAGAGGAGAGUGGAAUUCCAUGUGUAGCGGUGAAAUGCGUAGAUAUAUGGAGGAACACCAGUGGCGAAGGCGGCUCUCUGGUCUGUAACUGACGCUGAGGCUCGAAAGCGUGGGGAGCAAACAGGAUUAGAUACCCUGGUAGUCCACGCCGUAAACGAUGAGUGCUAAGUGUUGGAGGGUUUCCGCCCUUCAGUGCUGCAGCUAACGCAUUAAGCACUCCGCCUGGGGAGUA
RNAcentral lists this ribosomal RNA (890 nucleotides) under Enterococcus faecium. Its description in RNAcentral is "bacterial SSU rRNA". It matches the Rfam family "Bacterial small subunit ribosomal RNA", at positions 26 to 882 of the family's 1533-position model. The record is from RNAcentral. Lineage: Bacteria; Bacillati; Bacillota; Bacilli; Lactobacillales; Enterococcaceae.